This is a long non-coding RNA of Acanthaster planci (crown-of-thorns starfish), 1351 nucleotides long. NCBI's taxonomy places the organism in Eukaryota, Metazoa, Echinodermata, Asteroidea, Valvatida, Acanthasteridae. The record is from RefSeq and is a predicted model, not a curated record.
UUUACUGCAGCUUGAAAGGUAUUGAUGAACUCUGAAGCAAUAUACACGAGGGAAGUAAUGAUCAAAUCCUUGACUCAUUUGUAAUUUUGCCUCUACAACUAGAUCCCAGCAGCAACAGAUGAAUCGGUGGCAUCCUGUUCCCCCACCCCAAAAAACCUCAGUGAAUAUCCCUCCGACUACCAUCAUUUUGUUGAUUAUGGACUCAGUUGGCCUUGGAUUUUGUAUAAAAUUCUUCCCUACUUUCCUGAAAUUUAUAAUUAAAUCAUACUCUUCAUCAGUCUUGGUUUGCACUGGCAAUGUGUACCAAAUCAUGGAUCAUAGUGCACCCCAAAAUAUUUGCCAGUGUAUGAGGCAGGCAAUUAUACAUUUUUUUAAAAUUGAAGCUGCCAAGUUCUUAACAACUUCAUAAAAAGGCCACAGAAAAAGAUUUGAAUGUUCGUUUCAAGCUACAUUCUUUAUCAGAAUCCAGGCCAAUCAGGCAGUUGCAUUUGUUGUGCAAAUGUACAAGAUUUUCUUUUGUUUGUUUUCCGAAGGUCCACCCAAGGAAACCCUCUUGAACUUGCUGACCAAGAAAUAAAAGAGUCACUUCCUCAAGAAGCUGAACCGCUUUGAGAAGAAACAUUCUGGGUCUGUGCAUAAGGAUAGCCACGAGGUGAUGGUGCAGCUCAUCAGAGGACAAAGACCAGAGAAACACCAUAGGGAUGACAGCAGCAGCAACAGAUUUUAGAAGUCCAAUGUUAUCGAAAUCUUAACAAAUAUGCCUUGGUUUGGGUGAAAUUUGAAACUGGGGAAGUUAUUUCAUCAAAAUUGUUGAGAAGUGUCAGGAAACCUGAAAUUCAUCUCAACAUACAUUUCUGAGCUCUUUUACAAAAAGUCAAUUUUUGACGAAAUUUUAAUUAAAAUUCAAGUUUAAGGAGGUCUCACAUAACAAAACUAAGGAUACAAUUCUGUGAUUUUGUAAUUACCUAUAAGAUUUUGCCAUAUACUAUAUUCGCUUCAAUUUUUGCCUAUUAUCCCUCUGUUUGCAAAAUGUGUGCAUUUGACUCCUGCUUAAUAUUAUACACUCAUUGGAGGUCACACAUAACAACUCCAAAUUAUUUUCAUUUUGCACAUGUAGUCCGUGAAUUGCAAGAGACUUUUAAAAGGUCACAUUAUUGAAAUUAUGUUUCCGACUUUGCUGUCCAAAAUUUCUGUAGUUGUAGAUCCCAGCCCUAAUUACUGAUUUGAAUUGUUUUUAUACAUGAAUUGUUUGUGAUAUGUAUCUGUCUUUAGCCUACAUGGGCUACAUAUCAGUGCCUGAGCAAUUUUUACAGGGUUGCUGACCUCCAGACAAUAAAUUGGCAGAAACAAA